Molecule: ribosomal RNA, 164 nt
Filed under: Helictotrichon parlatorei
Lineage: Eukaryota; Viridiplantae; Streptophyta; Magnoliopsida; Poales; Poaceae
Also listed under: 1 other name
Description: 5.8S ribosomal RNA
Rfam family: 5.8S ribosomal RNA
About the family: 5.8S ribosomal RNA (5.8S rRNA) is a component of the large subunit of the eukaryotic ribosome. It is transcribed by RNA polymerase I as part of the 45S precursor that also contains 18S and 28S rRNA. Functionally, it is thought that 5.8S rRNA may be involved in ribosome translocation.
Source: RNAcentral
CACACGACUCUCGGCAACGGAUAUCUCGGCUCUCGCAUCGAUGAAGAACGUAGCGAAAUGCGAUACCUGGUGUGAAUUGCAGAAUCCCGCGAACCAUCGAGUCUUUGAACGCAAGUUGCGCCCGAGGCCAUUCGGUCGAGGGCACGCCUGCCUGGGCGUCACGC